CGCUCUUGCAAAACGAACGAAUAAGAGGUCCCGCCUGCCCUGUGACUAUAUGUUUAACGGCCGCGGUAUUUUGACCGUGCGAAGGUAGCGCAAUCACUUGUCUUUUAAAUGGAGACCUGUAUGAAAGGCACCACGAGGGCUUAGCUGUCUCCCCUUUAAGGUCAGUGAAAUUGAUCUCCCCGUGCAGAAGCGGGGAUACGCUCGUAAGACGAGAAGACCCUAUGGAGCUUAAGAUAUAAAGCGAUCCAAGUCAAGCACCCUACCUAAAGGAAUAGAACAAUAUGGGCCCCGCUGAAAUAUCUUCGGUUGGGGCGACCGCGGGGAAAGACAAAACCCCCACAUGGACUGGGGCCAUACCAGCCUCAAAACUAAGACCCACAGGUCGAAGAAACAGUACUUCUGACCACCAAAGAGCCGGCAUAGCCGAUCGACGGACCGAGUUACCCUAGGGAUAACAGCGCAAUCCCUUCCCAGAGCCCUUAUCGACGAGGGGGUUUACGACCUCGAUGUUGGAUCAGGACAUCCUAAUGGUGCAGCCGCUAUUAAGGGUUCGUUUGUUCAACGAUUAAUAGUCCUACGU
This 580-nucleotide ribosomal RNA is filed under the name Myctophidae sp. AL9407-Myc-1K. Its description in RNAcentral is "partial 16S ribosomal RNA". It matches the Rfam family "Bacterial large subunit ribosomal RNA", at positions 1826 to 2601 of the family's 2925-position model. Lineage: Eukaryota; Metazoa; Chordata; Actinopteri; Myctophiformes; Myctophidae. The record is from RNAcentral.